Molecule: ribosomal RNA, 425 nt
Filed under: uncultured bacterium
Lineage: Bacteria
Description: partial 16S ribosomal RNA
Rfam family: Bacterial small subunit ribosomal RNA
Source: RNAcentral
GUGGGGAAUCUUGCGCAAUGGGCGAAAGCCUGACGCAGCCAUGCCGCGUGAAUGAUGAAGGUCUUAGGAUUGUAAAAUUCUCUCACCGGGGACGAUAAUGACGGUACCCGGAGAAGAAGCUCCGGCUAACUUCGUGCCAGCAGCCGCGGUAAUACGAAGGGGGCUAGCGUUGCUCGGAAUUACUGGGCGUAAAGGGCGCGUAGGCGGACAGCUUAGUCAGAGGUGAAAGCCCAGGGCUCAACCUUGGAAUUGCCUUGGAUACUGGCUGUCUUGAGUUUGGGAGAGGUGAGUGGAACUCCGAGUGUAGAGGUGAAAUUCGUAGAUAUUCGGAAGAACACCAGUGGCGAAGGCGACUCACUGGCCCAAUACUGACGCUGAGGCGCGAAAGCGUGGGGAGCAAACAGGAUUAGAAACCCGGGUAGUCC